UCUUAAUCACUGGACCACCAAACAGACAGCAUAUACCAGCUGAUAUGAAGCCCCCAAGACACAUACAGUAGACGACAUUUGGGUCUGUGUUCAAUCAGAGAUGAUGCACCUAUCCUUCAAGACACUGAAGGCCCCAGGGAGUAUAAAGGGAGCAUACUUGAUUAGGGGAAAAAGCAAACUGAGAAAUUCAGAGUGAAGAUAAUCAUGAGGCAGAAGAUCUCAAGCACAGCUUGCGAAUAGAAGCAAAGGAACACUGAAGAGAUACAGCCACAGGGCCACUGCAUGCAUGAAUCUCAGGUGAAUAUCUUGUAUGUACAGCUACCUGAGUUUGUGAGGAUUCUGGCUUCUAGUGGCAUCUGGGCUGUGGAGUUUGACAAUGUGAAAUGAGGAGUGGCAUAUUAUCAGAACUUAGUCUGUAUCAGUUGAUAGUGCAAGAAAAUGAGAAAGAUUAAUCCUCACAGCAGAUAAAGCAAGAAGACGAAGAUGGUCAUCUUGCAUCUCUGACAGAGUAGAGUGGUAAGAUCUUCAGAAUAUUUAUUGAAAAGACUUUUCUCCAUUGAAUUGUAGUGCCUCUGCUGAACAUUGAUUGACCAUUGAUGUCUUGUUCUAUUUCUGGUUCUUGACUCAAUUUUAUUAGGUAUGUGUCUGUUGUAAUGUCUGUACCACACAGUGUUUAUUACUUUAGCUUUACAUAGUUUUUAUAUUAGAGUAUAUGAG
RNAcentral lists this long non-coding RNA (717 nucleotides) under Mus caroli (Ryukyu mouse). RNAcentral describes it as "predicted gene 12629 (MGP_CAROLIEiJ_G0005877.1)". Lineage: Eukaryota; Metazoa; Chordata; Mammalia; Rodentia; Muridae. The record is from RNAcentral.